AUGGAAUCAUGGUGUCCUCCCAAGCCCUGCAGAGACAGUGAAAGAUAUUGUAUGCUAUGGGCAAAAUGCACGUGUGGAAGCUCUAAACCCAGUGUCAUGAUAUUUGAAGAUAGGACGUUUAGGAGGUGAGAUCUACAUCUGCUCUGAAGUGUACUCCCCUGUGUGGAGCAGCAGGCUAAGCAGAACAAGUUCCUCUAGCAACAGCGGAAGCACAAACAGAAUUUACUUUUGGAAUGAACAACUUUGUGAGCGAGGAAUAAUUAUCUCCACUUUAUAAAGAACAAGGCUACUUACUGAUGAAAUACUUCAUCCAUGAUAUUGUGUCAGAACCAAUACUACCAGAACUUUAGCUUUUGAAAGAGUGCCCUGGAUCUGGGAAGAGGGACUUCCCAUAAUUUCCCUUGGAUCCCACUGAAUGCAUCUUAGAAUGAUGUAGAGACUGAAAUUUCAGGAGACUCAGGGAAGCUGCAGAGUCCCAGCCAUGCUGAGUCUGCGGAUUAUCACACAGCAGUCGUCAAAUACAGCAUGGAAAGAGAAGUUAGAGACAAUGGAGAGUGUGCUCUAAACGUAACCUGGUGGAAAUGUUCUGAACAUGGAAAAGAGAAAUGGAAAGACAAAUGUAAUGACACAGAGGUCACAAAAGGACCAAAUAAAUAGAAUAUUAUGGAGGUGGAUACAAGUUACUAUUAUUACUAUUCAUGACUGAUUGUCUGCCAGAUCGCACUGGCUACUUCCAUUUAUACAUACCAGCUCAGUCAAGCUUCCCAUUACCUUCACCUACAGGCAAGGAAACUAAGGCCAAUAGAGGUAUGAAUCUGAACAGAAAAAAUCAGCUGGCCAAUAAGUGGGAGAGAAAAGAAUUCUUGUCACCAGAAGUUUCUGAGCCAAAGAUAUAGAUGGCAGUGAUGGUUGUAUUUAAUGUGAUCUAUUUUGGAUACACCAACAAUAAAAAGGAAAAGCUUCAAG
Long non-coding RNA from Heterocephalus glaber (naked mole-rat), 966 nucleotides. RefSeq lists it as uncharacterized. The record is from RefSeq and is a predicted model, not a curated record. NCBI's taxonomy places the organism in Eukaryota, Metazoa, Chordata, Mammalia, Rodentia, Bathyergidae.